GAUAAACGCUAGCGGCAGGCCUAACACAUGCAAGUCGAGGGGUAAGGUUCAGCUUGCUGAACACACGACCGGCGCACGGGUGAGUAUCGCGUUUGCAAUCUACCUCUAACUGGGGCAUAGCCCGAAGAAAUUCGGAUUAAUACCCCAUAACAUCAUAAAAGGGCAUCCUUUAGUGAUUAAAGCUCCGGCGGUUAGAGAUGAGCAUGCGUGUCAUUAGUUUGUUGGUGAGGUAAUGGCUCACCAAGACUACGAUGACUAGGGGGUCUGAGAGGAUGAUCCCCCACACUGGUACUGAGACACGGACCAGACUCCUACGGGAGGCAGCAGUGAGGAAUAUUGGGCAAUGGGCGAAAGCCUGACCCAGCCAUGCCGCGUGCAGGAUGACUGCCCUAUGGGUUGUAAACUGCUUUUGUAAGGGAAGAACAGUUCCUACGUGUAGGGAU
RNAcentral lists this ribosomal RNA (443 nucleotides) under uncultured Bacteroidota bacterium. RNAcentral's name for it is "bacterial SSU rRNA". It matches the Rfam family "Bacterial small subunit ribosomal RNA", at positions 28 to 469 of the family's 1533-position model. The record is from RNAcentral. Lineage: Bacteria; Pseudomonadati; Bacteroidota.